ACAUACAACACAUCGGAUCGACAAUUUGGUAAAAGAAAGCUUUUACCAGAAGUUCUAGAAAACCGAGUCCUGUAAGCAAAGUGACCCGGAAUGUGAAUUUUGUUAAAUAAACCGUCUUUUUUGCACCCUGAACAAUAGAUAAGAAGCUUCCCGAGCGCACUCCAGUUUCCAUCUACACUGUGGCUGCCACUAGAUUGAAGAUCAUGCAUCAUUUUGGGGGCUCGUGUUCUACAAAACUCCUUCCACAGGACUCGUUUCACAAGAUCGUCAAACCAUUUGCAGACGCAAGAAAGCGCCGCUAUUAUUUUGGGAUUCCAGUUUAAAUGUUGAAGAAGUAGGAAGAUGACAUCUUCACUUAUAUGGCCUUUUGUGCACAUACAACUAGCGGAGUGUAUGCAUCGGUACUGCUUGGUUAUGAUCAUUGUCUAGAAUCAAGAGAUGCGAUGCGAGUGAAGAAGGGAGAAACUUGAA
RNAcentral lists this long non-coding RNA (471 nucleotides) under Helianthus annuus (common sunflower). RNAcentral's name for it is "sRNA HanXRQr2_Chr15g0711121". The record is from RNAcentral. Lineage: Eukaryota; Viridiplantae; Streptophyta; Magnoliopsida; Asterales; Asteraceae.